RNAcentral lists this unclassified non-coding RNA (301 nucleotides) under fungal sp. RNAcentral describes it as "partial internal transcribed spacer region". The stretch from base 1 to 46 matches the Rfam family "Eukaryotic small subunit ribosomal RNA", at positions 1786 to 1831 of the family's 1831-position model. The record is from RNAcentral. Lineage: Eukaryota; Fungi.
AAGUCGUAACAAGGUCUCCGUAGGUGAACCUGCGGAGGGAUCAUCAUAGAAAACAAUAUUCUAAACCCCAAGUGUUAGGAGAAAAGAGGGGAGGGGGAAAAAGGGGUAUUACUCUUUUUUUUUCUCUCCUUCUUUUUUCCUGAUGCUUCAAACAAACGAUCACAACUAAAGAGAGAAAAUUGUGUGGAUACCUGGGUUUUUUUCGAGGGGAAUUAUAUAAGUGCUUGCCUGAUAAUCUGAUUAUUGGAAUUGGAAAGAGAAAACAAUAUACAACUUUCAACAACGGAUCUCUUGGCUCUCA